CCUACGGGUGGCUGCAGCAAGGAAUUUUCCGCAAUGGGCGAAAGCCUGACGGAGCAACGCCGCGUGGGGGAGGACGCUUUUCGGAGUGUAAACCUCUUUUCUUGGGGACGACGAACGACGGUACCCGAGGAAUAAGGACCGGCUAACUACGUGCCAGCAGCCGCGGUAAUACGUAGGGUCCGAGCGUUGUCCGGAGUUACUGGGCGUAAAGCGCGCGCAGGCGGCUCUAUAAGUCUGGCGUGAAAGCCCCCGGCUCAACCGGGGAGGGUCGUCGGAGACUGUGGAGCUUGAGGGCGGUAGGGGCUGGUGGAAUUCCCGGUGUAGUGGUGAAAUGCGUAGAGAUCGGGAGGAACACCUGUGGCGAAGGCGGCCAGCUGGGCCGUCCCUGACGCUGAGGCGCGAAGGCGUGGGGAGCGAACGGGAUUAGAUACCCGUGUAGUC
This 441-nucleotide ribosomal RNA is filed under the name uncultured bacterium. Its description in RNAcentral is "partial 16S ribosomal RNA". It matches the Rfam family "Bacterial small subunit ribosomal RNA", at positions 338 to 795 of the family's 1533-position model. The record is from RNAcentral.